GAUGAACGCUGGCGGCGUGCCUAAUACAUGCAAGUCGAGCGAACAGACGAGGAGCUUGCUCCUCUGACGUUAGCGGCGGACGGGUGAGUAACACGUGGAUAACCUACCUAUAAGACUGGGAUAACUUCGGGAAACCGGAGCUAAUACCGGAUAAUAUAUUGAACCGCAUGGUUCAAUAGUGAAAGACGGUUUUGCUGGCACGUAUAGAUGGAUCCGCGCCGCAUUAGCUAGUUGGUAAGGUAACGGCUUACCACGGCAACGAUGCGUAGCCGACCUGAGAGGGUGGUCGGCCACACUGGAACUGAGACACGGUCCAGACUCCUACGGGAGGCAGCAGUAGGGAAUCUUCCGCAAUGGGCGAAAGCCUGACGGAGCAACGCCGCGUCAGUGAUGAAGGUCUUCGGAUCGUAAAACUCUGUUAUUAGGGAAGAACAAAUGUGUAAGUAACUAUGCACGUCUUGACGGUACCUAAUCAGAAAGCCACGGCUAACUACGUG
This 497-nucleotide ribosomal RNA is filed under the name uncultured bacterium. RNAcentral describes it as "partial 16S ribosomal RNA". It matches the Rfam family "Bacterial small subunit ribosomal RNA", at positions 28 to 507 of the family's 1533-position model. The record is from RNAcentral.